This 72-nucleotide transfer RNA is filed under the name Atractosteus spatula (alligator gar). It matches the Rfam family "tRNA". From Rfam's summary of the family: Transfer RNA (tRNA) molecules are approximately 80 nucleotides in length. Their secondary structure includes four short double-helical elements and three loops (D, anti-codon, and T loops). Further hydrogen bonds mediate the characteristic L-shaped molecular structure. tRNAs have two regions of fundamental functional importance: the anti-codon, which is responsible for specific mRNA codon recognition, and the 3' end, to which the tRNAs corresponding amino acid is attached (by aminoacyl-tRNA synthetases). tRNAs cope with the degeneracy of the genetic code in two manners: having more than one tRNA (with a specific anti-codon) for a particular amino acid; and 'wobble' base-pairing, i.e. permitting non-standard base-pairing at the 3rd anti-codon position. Lineage: Eukaryota; Metazoa; Chordata; Actinopteri; Semionotiformes; Lepisosteidae. RNAcentral also lists the same sequence under 1 other name. The record is from Rfam by way of RNAcentral.
GGUGCGGUGGCCAUGUGGUAAGGUGUUGGUCUUGUAAACAAAAGAUCACGCGUUUGAAUCCCCUCCGUUCCU